Non-coding RNA from Triticum aestivum (bread wheat), 115 nucleotides. NCBI's taxonomy places the organism in Eukaryota, Viridiplantae, Streptophyta, Magnoliopsida, Poales, Poaceae. The record is from Rfam.
CAAGAACUCCCUCCGUCCCAUAUUAGUUGUCGCUGAAAUGGAUGUAUCUAGACGUAUUUCAGUGCUAGAUACAUCUGUUUAAGCGACAACUAAUAUUGGACGGAUGGAGUAGUGA